UACGUAGGGGGCGAGCGUUGUCCGGAUUUAUUGGGCGUAAAGAGCUCGUAGGCGGUUUGGCAAGUCGGGUGUGAAAACUCCGGGCUCAACUCGGAGACGCCACUCGAUACUGCUAUGACUCGAGUCCGGUAGGGGAGUGCGGAAUUCCUGGUGUAGCGGUGAAAUGCGCAGAUAUCAGGAGGAACACCGGUGGCGAAGGCGGAUCUCUGGGCCGUAACUGACGCUGAGGAGCGAAAGCAUGGGGAGCGAACAGG
This 254-nucleotide ribosomal RNA is filed under the name uncultured bacterium. Its description in RNAcentral is "partial 16S ribosomal RNA". It matches the Rfam family "Bacterial small subunit ribosomal RNA", at positions 524 to 776 of the family's 1533-position model. The record is from RNAcentral.